CCAUGGAUGCUGUGAAGUCUGUGGAGUUUGAAGCUGUGUGGUUGAACGGCACCAGUGAAUUCGCAUUAAAGUGAUGGUAGUGCUACAUUGCUGUAGUGCCUAGAAUGUACUGUAGGCCCGUGUGCCCGUGUAGGCCUGUAUUGUAGGCCCGCAUGCUCAGAUUUGGGUGCACGUUAAAGAACCCCAGGUGGUCGAAAUUUCCGGAGCCCUCCACUACGGCGUCUCUCAUAAUCAUAUGGUGGUUUUGGCACGUUAAACCCCACAUAUAAAUCAAUCAAUCAAUCAAUCAAUUAGAAUGUACUAUAUUCGACACAUCGCUGCGAAUGUCUUGAAGGAUCGACCGGUCGACUUUAAGGUGUCAGGUGCGUCGGCAUAAGGCAUCGUUGCGACACGAUGCCGAUGGGUUGCACAACAGCCCCUACUCUUGGAGAUGACUGCUGCAGUGCUCAGCAAUCGCAAGAAAACACAACUUUCCGCAGUUCUCAAGUGGCAUUCACGAAUGAAGUUGCAGCAAUUGUGGAGAUUGGACCAUUGGAAACUUUACAGACUCGUGCAUCAUACUCUAUAUUGCAAAAUGAUGCGGAUAUCUCAUUUAAGGCUAACACAGCUAUUCCAUUUUUAUGGCACUAUCAAUUGCUCCCCGAAAGUCGUUUCUAUGCCUCUGACCACGACUACUGUGCCAAGCACCAUGCAGGAACACAGACUGGAGAAAAAACAAAUUCAACAGAUGCGCAAUGUGCUCUCAGUGUAAAGGCUCUUAAAGGUGAAGGCACACAAACAGAUUGGACUGAUCGAGAGUUGGAGCCUUGCUUUCAAGACAAGGCCACAGAGUGCCGGUGGACACAGAGAACUUGUUUUACCAGAAGUGCAAGGCGUUGACUUCAACACAUCCAUCGAAUUCAACUGCAAGACUGUACACAAGAAGCUCGACACCAGUGUCGACGUCAUCUACCUCGUGUUUCUUUUUGGAUAUGCAGCAAAGGUUGACUGUCGAACCAUCAUAUAGCAGAUUGAUGACAAAGCACAUCAUCCAUCACUUGAUGAGUCACUCGAGAGGCUGCCUAAUCAGUGACAGUGCCUAUCCAGCGAUGCCUUGGCUGCUGCCUUCUUACCGUCAACGUGGAGCCAGCUGACAGCCGUGGAUGCAGACCUUUAACGCAGCAGAUUGCGGGCAACGCAUCGUCAUAAGAGGAGCUUUUGUUCCGUGUGCUCAGAUUUGGGUGCACGUUAAAGGACUCUAGGUGGUUGAAAUUCCUGGAGCCCUCCACUAUGGCGUCUCUCAUAAUCAUAUGGUAAUUUUGGGAUGUUAAACCCCACAUAUCAAUCAAUCAAUCAAAGAGCUUUUGUUCUGCUGAAGACUCUUCUAAUGGCUCAUGCAUGUCGACGUCGCUACCAUCUUACAAACUAUGGACAGACAUCAUGAUGACGGCUUGCGUUCUGCACAUCGCAAGCAGCAGUGACGACUGUAUGAACGAUGAGCAACUGGUGGACAUUGAUGCAGAUCUUUAGGCGAAAGCACCAGAAAGUUGAACUGUAGCAUCAGCCCUUGUGACAACUGUGCGCGACUCCGUUGCCUAGGCUCUGUAGCUUUUUUAUUAUAAAAGGACUAAAAUAAGAAUACUUUUUUAUUUGUGGUAAUCAUUUUGUAAUAUUGUGUUCAAACUAUAUAUAUUUACUGCUUUAGCUAAUAGAUAUACACCCCUUCACUUUUAAUGUGCACCAAACAGUCGAAAUUGUAAUUAGGUGUUCGUGUUGCCAGUAUAUAUUUACAGCCAUCACAAGACAAGUUUCGCAUACGCGAUUCGCUCCUGAAAGCUUUCAUUUGUGCUCUGCACAUACAUUGCACCUUGCAUAAUCCACACUUUGAUCAUGAGUUUUAAAAGACUAGUUUAUUUUUUCACUGAGGUCAAUAUCAUUAAUACAAGACUACAGAGUUUCAAAGUUAAAGUGAGAUCUCUGGUAUUACUGGCAAUGAGGAACAACGGCACUACUAAUAGAGUGACUGAUUAAAAUGAAAAAAGUGAGUAAAACACGCAAAGUGAGUUUUUAGCGUACGUAAGGAGAGCACCAAAGCAAUUUGGAAUGCACACAAAAAACAAGGUGGCUACAUUGCUUGAAAAAAUACCAAGAAAAACUGAUAAAUUGCAAGAGAAUUCAUAAAAAUGAAAUCCAAUUAUUUAAAAAAAAAUAAUGAAUAGAAAAUGUUAGAACAAACGAAUUAUUCAGCUGCCGAGAGCUAUGAGCAACGUCAUUUUCUGCAGCCGCCACAAGUCUUUCACACAAAGCUUCAUGCCAGCCCUGACUGGCCAUUAACUCAUUAUGCCGUUGGCCCUCUUCUUCUCUGCUUCUCCUAAUCUCGACAUGUUUGUUCUUGUGGGACUUCUUGGUCACAAGGUUCUGAUUGGGGCACUGCUGAUGAAACAUUGGUGUACUCAUACGAGCCACCUGUGAUGUGCUCCAGUGGCUUGGGCUGAGUGCUGAAAUGAAUAGAGUAUACUGCAUGGUCACCACACGGUAGAUGGCAGAAAACAUUCACGCAGCAGAGAUUGCAAAAAAAGGAAAUGCAAUCCUAGUGUAUACAGCAGAAACUACCAGAAAAUUAUAACCAGUUGACAUUAUAAAAUUGUUAUUGACUGCACGCUCCCACUCUUCCUAAUUUUGAUCAUUGCAGAUAGAACAAAUUGCAAAACAGAUAAUAAUUUUGAGACUAUAUAACUAUGCUAAACAUGCGUCCUUUCUAUGCAAACGUGUUAAUUGAAACAAUUCAUGCUAUUAGUCACAUGAAUAAAAUUUACUUAAACGACACAUACAUUCAGCUACCCGUCCUAGCUUAUAUGGACAAAAAAAAUUACAUACAACACUAAUAUUUUCAUUCCUCUGUAGGAGGUCAUUCAAGUGUCUGUUGUUUCCAUUAAUUCAGUGUAAGUGCUUCUUCAAUUAAUGUGUAUAUAUAUAAAAAAGAACGAAGUAUCUUGAAUGCAUGCAGUAGCAAUAAUGACUUAUUGAUUUUUUUUUUUCGCCACUCCUGGUUCGAGCAGGUACGUCGAGUUAACACUGUGGUGUUUCUCUAGCUCCUCGCUGAGC
This 3084-nucleotide long non-coding RNA is filed under the name Rhipicephalus microplus (southern cattle tick). Its description in RNAcentral is "uncharacterized LOC119178703". The record is from RNAcentral. Lineage: Eukaryota; Metazoa; Arthropoda; Arachnida; Ixodida; Ixodidae.